Sphingobium ummariense RL-3 is the source of this 73-nucleotide non-coding RNA. NCBI's taxonomy places the organism in Bacteria, Pseudomonadati, Pseudomonadota, Alphaproteobacteria, Sphingomonadales, Sphingobiaceae. The record is from Rfam.
GGGCCCUUAGCUCAGUCGGUAGAGCAACUGACUUUUAAUCAGUAGGUCGCUGGUUCGAAUCCAGCAGGGCUCA